UCCCGAGUAGCUCAGUUGGUAGAGCAGCCGGCUGUUAACCGGCGGGUCGGGGGUUCGAGUCCCUCCUCGGGAGCCA
RNAcentral lists this transfer RNA (76 nucleotides) under Dehalococcoidia bacterium. RNAcentral describes it as "tRNA-Asn". It matches the Rfam family "tRNA". Rfam says of the family: Transfer RNA (tRNA) molecules are approximately 80 nucleotides in length. Their secondary structure includes four short double-helical elements and three loops (D, anti-codon, and T loops). RNAcentral also lists the same sequence under 2 other names. The record is from RNAcentral. Lineage: Bacteria; Bacillati; Chloroflexota; Dehalococcoidia.